GGAAUCUCUGGUGUAGCGGUGAAAUGCGUAGAUAUCAGAAGGAACAUCGAUGGCGAAGGCAGCUUUCUGGACCAAUACUGACGCUGAGGUACGAAAGCGUGGGUAGCAAACAGGAUUAGAUACCCUGGUAGUCCACGCCGUAAACGAUGAUAACUAGCCGUUGGGAGGGUUUACCUCUUAGUGGCGAAGCUAACGCGUUAAGUUAUCCGCCUGGGGAGUACGGCCGCAAGGCUAAAACUCAAAGGGAUUGACGGGGACCCGCACAAGCGGUGGAGCAUGUGGUUUAAUUCGAUGCAACGCGAAGAACCUUACCUGGUCUUGACAUACAGAGAACUUUCCAGAGAUGGAUUGGUGCCUUCGGGAACUCUGAUACAGGUGCUGCAUGGCUGUCGUCAGCUCGUGUCGUGAGAUGUUGGGUUAAGUCCCGUAACGAGCGCAACCCUUAUCCUUAUUUGCCAGCACUUCGGGUGGGAACUAUAAGGAGACUGCCGGUGAUAAACCGGAGGAAGGCGGGGACGACGUCAAGUCAUCAUGGCCCUUACGACCAGGGCUACACACGUGCUACAAUGGGAAGGACAAAGGGUCGCUAAGCCGCGAGGUGGUGCUAAUCUCAUAAACCUUUUCGUAGUCCGGAUCGGAGUCUGCAACUCGACUCCGUGAAGUCGGAAUCGCUAGUAAUCGUGGAUCAGAACGCCACGGUGAAUACGUUCCCGGGUCUUGUACACACCGCCCGUCAUACCAUGGGAGUGGGUUGCACCAGAAGUGGGUAG
RNAcentral lists this ribosomal RNA (770 nucleotides) under uncultured bacterium. RNAcentral describes it as "bacterial SSU rRNA". It matches the Rfam family "Bacterial small subunit ribosomal RNA", at positions 663 to 1433 of the family's 1533-position model. The record is from RNAcentral.